GACGAACGCUGGCGGCGUGCCUAAUACAUGCAAGUAGAACGCUGAAGCUUGGUGCUUGCACCGAGCGGAUGAGUUGCGAACGGGUGAGUAACGCGUAGGUAACCUGCCUGGUAGCGGGGGAUAACUAUUGGAAACGAUAGCUAAUACCGCAUAACAGUAGAUAUCGCAUGAUAGCUACUUGAAAGGUGCAAAUGCACCACUACCAGAUGGACCUGCGUUGUAUUAGCUAGUUGGUGAGGUAACGGCUCACCAAGGCAACGAUACAUAGCCGACCUGAGAGGGUGAUCGGCCACACUGGGACUGAGACACGGCCCAGACUCCUACGGGAGGCAGCAGUAGGGAAUCUUCGGCAAUGGACGGAAGUCUGACCGAGCAACGCCGCGUGAGUGAAGAAGGUUUUCGGAUCGUAAAGCUCUGUUGUAAGAGAAGAACGAGUGUGGGAGUGGAAAGUUCACACUGUGACGGUAUCUUACCAGAAAGGGACGGCUAACUACGUG
This 497-nucleotide ribosomal RNA is filed under the name uncultured bacterium. RNAcentral's name for it is "partial 16S ribosomal RNA". It matches the Rfam family "Bacterial small subunit ribosomal RNA", at positions 28 to 507 of the family's 1533-position model. The record is from RNAcentral.